AUUGUGGACUCGUAUGAAAGGCAAAAUGAGAGCCCGACUGUCUCUUAUAACUAAUCAAUUAAACUGAUCCCCCAGUACAAAAGCUGAGAUACCACCAUAAGACCAGAAGACCCUGUGAAGCUUUAACUAACCUAUUAAACCCAAUAAUAAUUAAUUUCGGUUGGGGCGACCUUGGAACAAAAAAGAACUUCCAAUAUAUGACUUCAUCAUACAAAAGGCAAACAAGCCACAUUAGACCCAGUAUAUCUGAUUAAUGAACCAAGUUACUCCAGGGAUAACAGCGCUAUCUUCUUCAAGAGCCCAUAUCAAAAAGAAGGUUUACGACCUCGAUGUUGGAUCAGGACAUCCUAGUAAUGCAGCCGUUACUGAGGGUUCGUUUGUUCAACGAUUAACAGCCCUA
This 400-nucleotide ribosomal RNA is filed under the name Vipera berus (adder). Its description in RNAcentral is "partial 16S ribosomal RNA". It matches the Rfam family "Bacterial large subunit ribosomal RNA", at positions 1979 to 2598 of the family's 2925-position model. The record is from RNAcentral. Lineage: Eukaryota; Metazoa; Chordata; Lepidosauria; Squamata; Viperidae.